Molecule: ribosomal RNA, 497 nt
Filed under: uncultured bacterium
Lineage: Bacteria
Description: partial 16S ribosomal RNA
Rfam family: Bacterial small subunit ribosomal RNA
Source: RNAcentral
GAUGAACGCUGGCGGCGUGCCUAAUACAUGCAAGUCGAGCGAACAGAUAAGGAGCUUGCUCCUUUGACGUUAGCGGCGGACGGGUGAGUAACACGUGGGUAACCUACCUAUAAGACUGGAAUAACUCCGGGAAACCGGGGCUAAUGCCGGAUAACAUUUAGAACCGCAUGGUUCUAAAGUGAAAGAUGGUUUUGCUAUCACUUAUAGAUGGACCCGGGCCGUAUUAGCUAGUUGGUAAGGUAACGGCUUACCAAGGCAACGAUACGUAGCCGACCUGAGAGGGUGAUCGGCCACACUGGAACUGAGACACGGUCCAGACUCCUACGGGAGGCAGCAGUAGGGAAUCUUCCGCAAUGGGCGAAAGCCUGACGGAGCAACGCCGCGUGAGUGAUGAAGGUCUUCGGAUCGUAAAACUCUGUUAUUAGGGAAGAACAAAUGUGUAAGUAACUGUGCACGUCUUGACGGUACCUAACCAGAAAGCCACGGCUAACUACGUG